Molecule: long non-coding RNA, 439 nt
Filed under: Homo sapiens (human)
Lineage: Eukaryota; Metazoa; Chordata; Mammalia; Primates; Hominidae
Description: HSALNT0142528
Source: RNAcentral
UAGCCUGCGGGAACUGAGAGAAAACCCCAACUGGCAGCCAGCAAGAAAACAGGGACCUUAAUCUUACGACCACAAGGAACUGGACUCUGCUACCAGAAUGAGCUGCAAGGGAGAUUCUUCCUCAGAAGCUUCAGAUAAGAACUCCACCUGGCUGACCUUUGAUUUUGGUUUUGUGAGAACUUUGGCAGAUAACCCAACAAGAAGCAUUGGGAUAGUCAGAAGAUCUACAGGAAGAUGGGCAUGUGUCAUUUCACAUCUGCAUAAAAAGACAUGCUGAAGGAUGUUCCUUGCAGAAUGGUUAUAGAGAAAAAUGGGAAUAACCACGAUAUAAAGUAACAGGUAAAUAGAUACAUAUAGUAUACUUAUAAAAUGAACUAUAUUGCUGUAAGUAAAAGAAAUGAACUGGAAUGCUAAGUAGGAACACUGGCUCUUAAAACAC